This 4251-nucleotide unclassified non-coding RNA is filed under the name Haliotis rufescens (red abalone). Its description in RNAcentral is "stromal cell-derived factor 2-like, transcript variant X1". Lineage: Eukaryota; Metazoa; Mollusca; Gastropoda; Lepetellida; Haliotidae. The record is from RNAcentral.
GUAACCCCAAACAUAUCUGUUCUAAAAGGGCAAUCUGAAAACAAGGAACAACAACACGACAAGAACCAACAAGGGAAAAUUUGACAAGUGGUUCAAGGGAAGUAACUCCAUUUGUUGUAUUCUCCAAUGACAGCCAACCACGUGUGGAGUUGAGCAUUACGUGUCUAGUUUUCCAGCAUGGCGGCGUUCGUAAAGGAGUUGCUGACUUGGGGUGCUUCACUUUUGUUUUUCUGCGGAUUUAUCAAACAUGUUUUAUCAAGAGAGAUGGACUAUGAGUUUGUGACAUGUGGCUCGACUAUGAAGCUGCUCAACACCUACUCCAGUGUCCGCCUGCACUCACAUGACGUGAAAUAUGGCUCGGGAAGUGGACAGCAGUCGGUGACUGGUGUCGACUCAUCUGAUGAUCACAACAGCUACUGGCAGAUCCGGGGCAAGACCGGAGCUACGUGUAUGCGAGGGAGUCCGGUGAAAUGUGGCCAGACAAUCCGUCUGAUGCACUUAUCAACAAAACGUAAUUUACACAGUCAUCACUUCCAGUCUCCUCUGUCUCACAACCUGGAGGUCAGUGCCUUUGGGGAGGAAGGAGAGGGCGAUGAAGGUGACAACUGGGUGAUUGUGUGCAGCACCAAGCACUGGAGCAGGAGAGACAAAAUCAGGAUCAAGAAUGUCGUCACAGAGCAUUACUUACAUGUGAGCGGUGACAGCUAUGGCCGUCCGAUCCACGGACAGCGCGAGGUCAGCGGCUACCCCACACCAUCCGAGAUGAACUACUGGAUAGUCAAUGAGGGCAUCUUUAUCAAGCCGGCCAAUGAUCCCAACACAGGGAAACUCAUGCAUGAUCAUGAUGAGCUUUAAUACAACACCAUAUUAGGACAAAACUUUGUACAUUACCAUAUAACUAUAUUUGUUUAUCUACAAAUGUGUUGAUGAAUUAGACUCAUAUGUUUGUUGUUUUUUAUAUUUUGUAACCGUCUACAGAAAGUACCGAAAGUUUCUUGUUGAACGAAUACUUUGAAUUGAGCCACAAAACGUUCUGUCUUGUUUCCCAUUGUUGUGGAUUACCUCCCUUUGAUGGACAUGAUUGGCUUGUUUCUGUCCUGCAGUGAAUGUGUUGUCUGGAUUUGAUUUAUCAAUAUUUGUAUUUAUUUUUGAAACAAAUAUAAUAAGAUCCACACUGAGUGAUGUUUCUUGCACUUUAAAAAAAAUAAGGUGUUAUGAGAUGCAGGGUUAGAAAUUAAUUUUUAUUUUCACAAGUCCACAAGAAUCAUCUACAAAGUGGUUGUCCAAAAGGAAAUGUCAUCAGUCCAUUCUGAAGUGGAUUAUUCUCAGACUGGCAGAUUUAUGUCAGUUUUGAACAGUGGGUUAGUUAAAUUUCAUAUGUGAAUUUAUUUUGAGGUUUAGAAAGUUUGUAUUCAUAUCUUAAUCUAGUUCCAUCAAUCCUGCUGUUUGUGACACCGGAACUCUGACCUGUGGAUAUAUAGAGGUAAAGGGCAGAUAUAUGUACAUUGGACGAGUAUACCAAGGUUACAUUAACAGGGCAUUUUACUGAAAGAUUGGUAAGAAUGCAGUCAAAGUGUUGUCAGAGGUGCAGUUGCUUUUUUGAUAGCACAUGUUUUUAUAGAGAUAUAAUUUGUCUACAUUUAAUUCUGUGAUUGAGUAUAUUUGUCGUGAUACAUAUUCAUCUCAGUAUAAGGUAGAGAUACGAUAUAUGUUUAAAGGUCGCAAUGCAAUACAUGCCUUAUUUAUUAGUGAAUAUUUUGAUAAUAUACAGUUGAGUCUAAUUCAUUAAUACUUAAUCUAUUAACAAACAAAAUGUCAGAGGGCGUUGUUCCAUCAUCAUCAGAUUCAUUUGUUUUGUGUCCAUGAGUAUCUUUAUACUUUGUUUCUUUGAAAAGUGAUUGUCUCAAAAGUCAAUAGUACCACCUUGAGAGGAUGUAAUCUUUGUAUCUAUGCUAUUAUUUAAAAAAAGUGGGUAUACAACUUUUGACUGGGGUGUUAUGACUGAGGUGUAUACAUUAAGACCAGGGCCCACUUGCACAAAGCGAUCUUAGCGCUAAGAUGAUCGUAACUCCCAUACUUUAACAUAAGCUUACAAUAGUCCUAGCACUAAGAUUGCUUUGUGCAAGUGAGCCCUGUUCAGUAUCUAAUUUUACUCCCAGCUAUAGUGGAACAUACCGGGGUAAGUAGGAUUUCAGAAUUGGUAAUGUUAAUACAUAGAUGCCAUCCAUGGUAUAUUUUGAAACCUAUCAAGCGAAAGGGCUGAUAUUUCAGAAGCUUCUUUAUGUACUUUGCUAGUAAAUGUCACUAGUGACAUUGAUUUUAAAGUAUACUUUUCCAAUCGUAUGUUUUCAAGUUGAUAAUCCAGUUCACAGCAAAAUUAGAAUAUUUCAUCUUUGGCAAAAUAUUGGUUGGAAUUAGCAAGUCACAGAUGCAGCUCAUACAGGAGUCUAGUUAUCUGUUUUAUUUCAUUAGGUGGUUAACAAAACUGACCAAACUGAAUUAAAUUAGAGAGGCCUUAUUUUGUUCAGCUAUCUCUGUGUCGUCCCAGAAAGCUAGGGCACUACAACUGAAACGUGAAACUCAGUCUUGCCAAGUGUUGUUUUCAUCCAGUUUUAAAUGUAUGUUUAUUUGGAUGUUGAUUUCUGUUCUUUUCAACUACCUAUAUUGAAUUUUGGGGCGAAAACAUUGUAAACUAACCAACAAAAAGUAAAAGGCUCUUGAAGGUUCUUGGUGAUAACAAAUAUAUAUUUCUUGUUUUGUCUGCAAUGCAAAACUUGCACUGUGCAACAUAAAUUAUUUUGAAAUUUCACCUCAACAGAUUUGGCAUUUCAGAUGCCCAACACAAAUUAUAGAUUUUAGUACAUACAUGUAUACAAAAGGAUGAUCACUCAGUCAGUAUCUGUCAAUGUCAUCAAUCAUGAGAAUUCCUUAACUGUAUUAAAAAGACAAAGUGAUAUACUAGUAUGUAUGAAUUUGGGUGACAGAUUUUCAGUUGUUAGCGGAUUUUCCGCUGACUUUGUGAACAGGUCAAGCUUGGGUGAAUGCUGUGUGACACUGCAUGGUUGCCAUGGAUUUGUGGUGCAUGUGCUGGAUGUGAAUGUUAGGAUUGUUUGGAGGAAACCUUCCCUGUAUCAUCUGAUGUUGGUGCUUCUUAACCUCUUUUGUUUUCUGGUGUAUUUAUUUCAAGGUUACAACUGUAAAUAUAUCUAUGUAGUGAUCAUGGUGAUGAUUGUUCUUUUCAACUAAUAAUGUGUUGGUUGAAUGUAUUUGUGAGUAACAGAAUUGGGCAGAGGGUAGAAGUGGUACUACAAUCGAAGUGUUUUUCUGUAUAAAUCUAUUUAUCCUUGUUCGGGGCUGAUACAUCACAUGACACUGCCCUACUUUUGAAUAUUGUGUUUGAACUCAUUAAUUGUUAAAGUUGUGAGGAAUCUUUUCAGAAGGUCUGUUUUAAGAAAGAAUGAAGAUUUGAAUGAAACGGAAACAUGAUACUUCUAUUCACUGAACAUGGGAAUUCAUCGCCAAUAAAGGCCCCCACCAGACUGUGCAUGGGUACUCAAGCUUCAUCAUUAUAAGCAAGAUAAUCCUUUUUGGGGGGAAAAAACAUGAAAAACUUCAGAUCCUGGUUAGCAACCCUUUCCAUCUUAAAUCUACUUUAGAAAAGAGGUCCUCUGCCUGAAAAUCCUUUUCAACUACCGGUAAUUGCCUCUGGAUCAUUUGUGCAGUGGCCUGUAUAUUCAAAUUUAGGUAGACUGAUGAUCAUUCAUUAAUUUAACUCCAUCAUGAGUGAAGCUGUAUCUUGAUGUGCAGAGUUGCAUCCCUUGGCUGCCAGGAUCUGCUGGUCAUGAGGCAGACUUCAAGAAUCUGCCAUGUUGUGAUCCCUGGUCUGUCAGUUUGGGGGUUUCUUAGAUUGCCGGAGCGUUACACCCUGUGUCAUCUUGAGCUUCCUUCACACAUGCCUGGUAUUACAACCAUCGUUCAAACCCAACUUAAGAUGUAUACCUCAAGAAGUGAAUCAAACUGAAUCCUGGCUUCAUUCAUUUUAUUGUCCCUCAGAUCACCUGUUUUACCAUGUUAUGUGUUGAUAGGGAUUUAGUCUAUUUUGUUGUCAUUUACAUUUUCUGUUGUUGAGAAUGUUUGCUAUUGUACAUACAUGUGUACAUGACGAAGAUAAGCCUUGUUCAGGAUAUGUUGCUGAUGUUGUAACAACAUUCAGAGGUGUGCAAGAGUGAGUGAAAUAAAGUGUAAUUUAAA